Molecule: ribosomal RNA, 240 nt
Filed under: uncultured bacterium
Lineage: Bacteria
Description: partial 16S ribosomal RNA
Rfam family: Bacterial small subunit ribosomal RNA
Source: RNAcentral
UAACCUGCCCAAGAGACUGGGAUAACACCUGGAAACAGAUGCUAAUACCGGAUAACAACACUAGACGCAUGUCUAGAGUUUAAAAGAUGGUUCUGCUAUCACUCUUGGAUUGACCUGCGGUGCAUUAGCUAGUUGGUAAGGCAACGGCUUACCAAGGCAAUGAUGCAUAGCCGAGUUGAGAGACUGAUCGGCCACAUUGGGACUGAGACACGGCCCAAACUCCUACGGGAGGCAGCAGAC